This 438-nucleotide RNase P RNA is filed under the name Candidatus Tectimicrobiota bacterium. RNAcentral's name for it is "RNase P RNA component class A". It matches the Rfam family "Bacterial RNase P class A". Rfam says of the family: Ribonuclease P (RNase P) is a ubiquitous endoribonuclease, found in archaea, bacteria and eukarya as well as chloroplasts and mitochondria. Its best characterised activity is the generation of mature 5'-ends of tRNAs by cleaving the 5'-leader elements of precursor-tRNAs. The record is from RNAcentral. Lineage: Bacteria; Pseudomonadati; Candidatus Tectimicrobiota.
GAAGAAGGCCAGGUGAUCGCUCCCCACCGCCAGGUGGGGGGAGGAAAGUCCGGGCUCCAUAGAGCGGGGUGCUGGAUAACUUCCAGUGGGGGUGACCCUAAGGAAAGUGCCACAGAAAACAAACCGCCAGGGCCGCACACGGAAUGGCUGGCAAGUGUGCACCGUGCCUGGUAAGGGUGAAACGGUGCGGUAAGAGCGCACCAAUCCCGAUGGCGACACCGGGAUUCGGCAAACCCCACCCGGAGCAAGACCAAAUAGGGAGGCGCUCCCUUCCCUGAUUCGCCACAUCGAGUGGGUCAAGGUGGGAGACAGGUUGCUCGCCUGAAAGCCUCCGGGUACGGUCGCUCGAGGCAGUCGGUAACGCCUGUCCCAGAUGAAUGAUCAUCGCUGCCCAAUGUUUUGGGUGGAACAGAACCCGGCUUACGGCCUUCUCCUUCC